RNAcentral lists this ribosomal RNA (504 nucleotides) under uncultured Cortinarius. RNAcentral describes it as "eukaryotic LSU rRNA". The stretch from base 163 to 316 matches the Rfam family "5.8S ribosomal RNA". Lineage: Eukaryota; Fungi; Basidiomycota; Agaricomycetes; Agaricales; Cortinariaceae. The record is from RNAcentral.
CCUGUGCACCUUUUGUAGACCUGGAAAGUUUCUUAAUGCCUAGCAUUAAGGUUUUGGGAUUGAUUUUGUCUCUCCUUAUAUUUCCGGGUCUAUGUUUAUUCAUAUACUCUAAUGUAUGUUAUAGAAUGUAAUAAGUGGGCCUUUGUGCCUAUAACACUAUACAACUUUCAGCAACGGAUCUCUUGGCUCUCGCAUCGAUGAAGAACGCAGCGAAAUGCGAUAAGUAAUGUGAAUUGCAGAAUUCAGUGAAUCAUCGAAUCUUUGAACGCACCUUGCGCUCCUUGGUAUUCCGAGGAGCAUGCCUGUUUGAGUGUCAUUAAUAUAUCAACCUCUUCAGCUUUUGCUUGUUUGAGUGUUGGAUGUGGGGGUCUUUUUGCUGGUCUUUUCAAGAGGUCAGCUCCCCUAAAAUGUAUUAGCGGAACAAUCUGUUGACCGUUCAUUGGUGUGAUAAUUAUCUACGCUAUUGACGUGAAGCAGUUCAGCUUCUAACAGUCCAUUGAGUGG